RNAcentral lists this ribosomal RNA (447 nucleotides) under uncultured bacterium. Its description in RNAcentral is "bacterial SSU rRNA". It matches the Rfam family "Bacterial small subunit ribosomal RNA", at positions 355 to 825 of the family's 1533-position model. The record is from RNAcentral.
UGGGGAAUCUUGGACAAUGGGCGCAAGCCUGAUCCAGCCAUGCCGCGUGGAUGAUGAAGGCCUUAGGGUUGUAAAAUCCUUUCGCCGAGGACGAUAAUGACGGUACUCGGAGAAGAAGCUCCGGCUAACUUCGUGCCAGCAGCCGCGGUAAUACGAAGGGGGCUAGCGUUGUUCGGAUUUACUGGGCGUAAAGCGCGUGUAGGCGGGUCGUUAAGUUGGGGGUGAAAUCCCGAGGCUCAACCUCGGAACUGCCUUCAAAACUGGCGACCUGGACCUAAGUAGAGGCAAGUGGAAUUGCGAGUGUAGAGGUGAAAUUCGUAGAUAUUCGCAGGAACACCAGUGGCGAAGGCGACUUGCUGGACUUGUAGUGACGCUGAGACGCGAAAGCGUGGGGAGCAAACAGGAUUAGAUACCCCCGUAGUCCCUGAGCGGGCUGGCAAGGCGCAU